GACACGCCCACGCAUCGAUGCCCUAUCCCUGCGAUCUCUUGAUCUGUCCCUUCGUGUUCGUCUGUUCGCGGCUAGGGCUUCCAAGCUCCAGCGCAGCAGCGGAGGCGCGGAGCGAUCAUCACUCAUCAGGAGACAGGAGUCAAGAAUCAUGAAACCAGUAAGCACCGGACAGGAGGUAGCAAUUAGUCCAGCCUCCAGCGUCAGCGAACAGCGAUUUAGUCCAGCCUCCAGCGUCAGCGAUUUAGUCCAGUCUCCAACUUCCUUCACGUUCAUGCAAUGAUGCAACAUGCAAAUAGCAAUUUUUUAUUCUUUUUUCUCAUCAGCAGGAGUCAGGAACGAGGAAGCGACAAGAAUCAGCUAAUCAGGAUUUAGGAACCGGAACAACAAUCAGGAUUCAGAUUUCAGAAAUCAGGAACAACCGAACAAGAACAG
RNAcentral lists this long non-coding RNA (432 nucleotides) under Hordeum vulgare. Its description in RNAcentral is "long non-coding RNA (HVUL_LNC016433)". The record is from RNAcentral. Lineage: Eukaryota; Viridiplantae; Streptophyta; Magnoliopsida; Poales; Poaceae.